UACAGAGGUGGCAAGCGUUGUUCGGAAUUACUGGGCGUAAAGGGCGAGUAGGCGGCCUUCUAAGUCAGACGUGAAAUCCCCCCGGCUUAACCUGGGAACUGCGUCUGAUACUGGGAGGCUCGAGUAUGGGAGAGGGAUGUAGAAUUCCAGGUGUAGCGGUGAAAUGCGUAGAUAUCUGGAGGAAUACCGGUGGCGAAGGCGGCAUCCUGGACCAUUACUGACGCUGAAUCGCGAAAGCUAGGGGGAGCAAACGGG
Molecule: ribosomal RNA, 255 nt
Filed under: uncultured bacterium
Lineage: Bacteria
Description: partial 16S ribosomal RNA
Rfam family: Bacterial small subunit ribosomal RNA
Source: RNAcentral